CAAAAGCAGGAGGGAAGAAAUGGUGAUUAAAAUAGAGCUGAAAACAGAAUUUAAGAAAAAUGUACACUAUAUUGACAACAAAAAAGUUCUUAGUUCACCUGAAGAUUCUUUCCAAUAUACCAACAGAAAGACGUUUAAAAAUGAAAAAAAUGGAAUCUGCUUUUGAAUGAAGAUAAGAGAAUGUCCACUCUGUCAUUGUUUUCACAGAAAGUUCUCAUAGACUGGAAUUGCAUUCAUGGAAGGCGCGUUCCUUUUGCUCACUGGGAUCAACCAUACGUACCAUCUUUUUCUGAUCCCAUAGACUAAGCAGAAUGCUUUAUACUAAAGUGAAACCUAACCCUGUCUACUCCCAGGCAAAUGGCACUGGAAUUUAAUUCAUUCUACAUAUGCUGUGGGAGUCCUGUAUCAUUCUGUAUCUUGCCAGGAGAACAGUUGCUACAGUGGAGCGGCAAAAUGAAGAUAUCCAGUUAUUUGUCCUCCAAGUAAAGAGAAAAGAUGUUCAAACUGAAGGCCACUACAGUUUGAUUAGGCUAUCCAUUUAGCUGAAGAUGCAAGAACUGGGAUACUAUAUUCAUCAACAGAAGAAAAUAAAACCACAUGGUGCAAGUAGUUCUUUACAUGGGACUUGAUGAUAGCCAUAUAUAUGAAGAUGCCAGCAUCUUAGUACCGGAGUGACCAUCAAACAAAACAGCCUCUUUGUAUUAUAAGCAGAAUUGCCUACUAGUUAUGCAGAAGUGAAAGGCGCCUGAGAAAUGAAGGUACAAAAGGGACUGCCUGCUGAGAAGACAGGCAGUGCUCAAAAUCCAAGAGAAACAUGAUUGCUCCACCUUCUUCUGCAUAAUGAGCCAGAAUCAUAGGGGAAACGACUGUCAAGAGAGUUGGCAAUGUCAGAUGCCUUUGAAACUGCUCUGCUCUGUUUUCAAGACGGGAGCAGAAGUGUAUUAGAAAGGAUAGCCCCUGAAGGAUGAUCAGAUGUUUACAGUAACCUCCAAAACCGAAGCAAUGGCUUAGAACUUUCAGAUGUCUAGUAUGGGGUUUUGAAGUAAAGGGAAUCUAAAUCUGAGGAGGAUUCCUCAUUAGAAGUGAAAACAAAUUCUCAAGAAUGUACUCUUGUACAAGGAGGAGGCAUGGGACAGAAAAGCUUACAAUCAAUGAACCUGGGACUGAUACUUCGAAUGUUGA
Molecule: long non-coding RNA, 1182 nt
Organism: Polypterus senegalus (gray bichir)
Lineage: Eukaryota; Metazoa; Chordata; Cladistia; Polypteriformes; Polypteridae
Exons: 10
Source: RefSeq, a predicted model, not a curated record